ACCCCAACCCGCCCCGCCCCUGAAGUCCAUCCUUGACGUGGAGCAGGAGGAGAGGGAGGAGGAGGUCGGUCCUCCUGGAGAAACUCCUCUCUGCCAGCUGUCACACCGCGGUCACUUACCAGACCAUGACACAGGAGGAAGGGCGUCUUCCCUGAUUCCUGAUUGUUUCCACCUGUGUUCCCCUCCCCCGUGUGUAUAUAGUCUUUGUCUUCCCCUGUCCUUGUUGCCAGAGUAUUUCGUCGUCCUGUCGUAUGCUUCCAGCCCUGUUCACAGUCAUGUAUUGAGUCAAGUUAAGUGUGUAAAGUUUUAUUUUCUGAAUUGCUUUUCCUCUGAAACAGAGUGAUUUUUUGUUCAUAGUUUUCUGGUUAUAAGUCAGAGUAAUUUUUGUAGUGUUGUUUUCCUCCUUUUGGAGCGUUUUCUGUUUAUCUAUUCUUAUCUAUGUUACAAAAUUAACAAUUUCAUAGCAUAUGAAAAUUUAGAAACAAACAAAUCACUCCGAAGAGGAAAAGCACACAGAGUAUUUCCUAUAAGAUCAGAGUAGUUUUUUUUUCCUCCUUCGGGAGCGUUUUUGGUUCUGUGUUUGUUUUGUGUUCUUCGUGUGUCUUAGGCUUUAUUUUACUGAAUAGAUUUCUCAUAGACAGAAAUGAUAAAUCAACAAGCUAUGAAAAUCUAGAAGGUCCGGUCAUUAUUGCUGCCUAUCUGCAUCUGAGUCCUCCUUUUUGCCCAAGCCUGACACCAGCUGCCUGCCUGCCAGACCCACAGGAGGAGAGUUCAGGAGCUGGAGAGGGAGAACGAGGAGCUCCGGGCCUCCAAUGCUCCGUGCGGCAGCAGGUGAGGGCCCCAGCGGCCUCCAGAGGCCAGUGGCCCCUCAUGCUCCACACUGAUAGAUGCUAACCUGCAGCGUUGUCUGUUUUGCUGAUAUGAAACAAAAACAGCUGGUGUUGUAAUCACUAUUGAUGUGAAACGUGUUCUCUAUUUAUCUGUUCACUGUGUGUAUCCAGGCAACUGAAAGCUGCAGUAGGAGCAGUGAGGCUGAGGAGGAGGAGGACGCUCCACCUCCUGCUAAAGUGGUUAGA
This is a long non-coding RNA of Centropristis striata (black sea bass), 1076 nucleotides long. RefSeq lists it as uncharacterized. The transcript is spliced from 3 exons. Lineage: Eukaryota; Metazoa; Chordata; Actinopteri; Perciformes; Serranidae. The record is from RefSeq and is a predicted model, not a curated record.